CAACAGGGAUUGCCCUAGUAACGGCGAGUGAAGCGGCAACAGCUCAAAUUUGAAAUCUGGCUUCGGCCCGAGUUGUAAUUUGCAGAGGAUGUUUCUGGCGCGGUGCCUUCCGAGUUCCCUGGAACGGGACGCCAAAGAGGGUGAGAGCCCCGUAUGGUUGGACACCAAGCCUGUGUGAAACUCCUUCAACGAGUCGAGUAGUUUGGGAAUGCUGCUCUAAAUGGGAGGUAAAUCUCUUCUAAAGCUAAAUACCGGCCAGAGACCGAUAGCGCACAAGUAGAGUGAUCGAAAGAUGAAAAGCACCUUGAAAAGGGGGUUAAAUAGUACGUGAAAUUGUUGAAAGGGAAGCACUUAUGACCAGACUUGGGCCGGGCGGCUCAUCAGGGGUUCUCCCCUGUGCACUCCGCCCGGCACAGGCCAGCAUCGGUUUUCGCGGGGGGAUAAGACCGUCAGGAACGUAGCACCUCUCGGGGUGUGUUAUAGCCUGGCGGACGAUACCCUCGCGGGGACCGAGGUUCGCGCUCCGCAAGGAUGCUGGCGUAAUGGUCAUCAGUGACCCGUCUUGAAACACGGACCAAGGAGUCGUCCAUUAGAGCGAGCGUUUGGGUGUAAAACCCGCACGCGUAAUGAAAGUGAACGCAGGUGAGAGCUUCGGCGCAUCAUCGACCGAUCCUGAUGUUCUCGGAAGGAUUUGAGUAAGAGUUUUAACGGACGGACCCGAAAGACAGUGAACUAUGCUUGUAUAGGGUGAAGCCAGAGGAAACUCUGGUGGAGGCUCGCAGCGGUUCUGACGUGCAAAUCGAUCGUCAAAUAUGAGCAUGGGGGCGAAAGACUAAUCGAACU
This 843-nucleotide ribosomal RNA is filed under the name Diaporthe sp. RNAcentral describes it as "eukaryotic LSU rRNA". It matches the Rfam family "Eukaryotic large subunit ribosomal RNA", at positions 66 to 941 of the family's 3401-position model. Lineage: Eukaryota; Fungi; Ascomycota; Sordariomycetes; Diaporthales; Diaporthaceae. The record is from RNAcentral.